Long non-coding RNA from Carassius auratus (goldfish), 2842 nucleotides. RefSeq lists it as uncharacterized. The transcript is spliced from 4 exons. Lineage: Eukaryota; Metazoa; Chordata; Actinopteri; Cypriniformes; Cyprinidae. The record is from RefSeq and is a predicted model, not a curated record.
GUGAAACAGUCCCAGUAAACAAACGAUCAAAAGCUAUAUACAAAAGUAACAAAGAAAACUGAAACAUUAAACACUAUACAAAAGGAAACAAAAACAAAUAUAAAUAGAUCUACGCAAACUCCUCCAAUGACAAAUUUCUCACGGCAUCACACUUGCAAGCUCGCUCGGCAGGUUAACUGACAGCCAAAAGUUCUUUCAGGCUCCUCUUUAUAGCCCAAGCCCCGCCCCUUUUGUUAAAACCAUUACAUAAAUUUAGUGGGUAAGUAUUUCAGGUGAGUAUGUAUACUUUUCACAACAUCACAAAAAUAUAUACACACAAAAAUAGCAAAAUAUUUACAAAAACAAACUCCAAACUAAAAAUAACAAAUACAAAUGUAGACACAUAAAACUAAGCAUAAUAAUAAUGACAAAUUUCCAUUAUCCCCCCUAACGAACCAAGACAAUGGACGAGCCGACUUCCGGUUGCUUCGCGCCGAUGCGGCCACACACAGCGGUCCUGGCACUAUUUAUCCAAGCCGCUGGGUGGCGCUCGGGUUCGGUCAAUCGAUGGUGGAGAAACAACGCGAAAGACCGGCAACACAGACGCUGAUAAACACCGAACACAGCAAGGAUUCUGAAGGGGAUGGAAAUGGAGUGGCUAUGUUUGCGUGUAUGAUGACCAGCGUGCUAAUGGCGUGCGUGUGCACCCAACGACCCAGCAGGGAACGGAGGAUGAGCGAAUUUGAGUCGUGACAUGUCAAUGGAGAACACAAGAAGGGUCAGGUGUUCUGUGAGGUCCUGCAAACAUACUGGCAAAAUGAGGUCACAGAAUCUCACCUCAUCCUCAAGGCACCAAACCAGAUCUAUUCUUCAGUCCCGUCCCUUCCCUAAAGCCCAGAUGGAGUUCGUUAGUAACCCAAAUCCUGGAAGAUUGUGAGAAUCAAACAGUUGUCAAACUUAACAACAGUGUGUGACGGCAUCAGACUUAUCCAAACCAAAUCUAGUGCCGUUAACAAUCUGUAAGUAUUGAUAAAAAGCUUUUCUGAUAACCACAAAGGAUCCUUCAUUGGCUUUUUGCACUCAAGUCUCUUCUAUUUUUGGAGACAAAUCACUCAGUCCUGGCUGUUUCCACCCAGUCAAUAAAGUCGCCUCACCGGUCUCUUUGUCUGAACCUAAUAUCCACUUACCCCGAGGCAGCACGGAUCUCAAGAGAACAUCUCCUCAGGGGGAAACGUGUCUGCUGGAGCUAUGAAAUUCACAACUUCUAUCACUUGAACCAUACAGCAUGUUAUAACCAGCACAGAUGACACCACAUUUGGUGAUUUUAAACUCAACAUCAAGUCUAGAAAUGACAUUUCCACUGAGCAAGAAAGAGAACAAAAACGUUUGACAUGUUUCUAAAAAUAGCAGUAAUCAUCAUUUAUGAAGCAUGCAUGUGUCUUGACUAGCAUACUCCAGUACUAUUUGUACUAUUUUGUUGUUUUAAAUCUGUGCACAGUAUUCAGCUUUUCUGUAGGCUAUGCACUGAAUACUACAAUAACUGCUGCAUUUGCUAAAAUUUAUAGGCCUAGCUGUGCAUUAAUGAUAAACAGUGCAUACAUUCUAUUUAUUUAUUCAUGCAUUUAAGUAUGCAGGAAAGAGAACAAAAAUUUAGCCAAAUUUGUCUACAAAUAUCAGCAAUCAACAGCAUUUAUGAAGCAUGCAAGUGAGAAUGGAUGUUUUUGGAAUAAUAUACUGCCAUACUAUUUGAACUGUGUGCAGCUUUUCUGCACUCACUUAAUACUUAGAUUAACUCUUUCAUUUGCCAAAAUAGGCUGCAUGAUAAUGUGCAUUGAUAAUAAAGAGUGUGUACAUUAUUCAUUUAUUUAUGCAUUUGUUUAUUUAUUUAUGCAUGCAUUUAUUUAAGUAAUAUAUAUGAAGCAUUUUAAGUCUGUACACUGUGCCCAGCAUGCAGUUUUUCAGUAUGCAUUGAUUGAAUACUUAAAUGAAUUGCUACAUUUGCUAUACACAAUGCAAUGCAUUCAAAAGCACCUAGUUUUUCAUCUUGACGAAAUAUGCAACUGCACAUUCUCCACCUGCCAAAAGUGAAAAAUUUGAUUUAAAAUGGAAUUUUUGAUGACUGGAUGAUGACACCCAUUGAACUAAGCAUGCAAUACAAUGAGAUCAUGUGACAAUAAUUCAGUUAUCGUUUGAGAUUGCAUAUUCUAUUUUUUGUACUGCAUUAUAUAGUAUGAAUCAGUGAGCAGUUCACUAGUACUUGGCUGUGGUUCUUCAUCUGUAGGGGUUUCAGUGGGCUUCGUGUGUGUGUGUGUGUGUGUGUGUACGGUAUUGGUGUGUCAUUCCGAAAUGUAACACUGCCAUCUAGAGUUUGGACUGAGGGAGUCUAGCAUCCUCCAUGAUGUUACUUUUCUCAGCACUCCUCAGCGCUGAAAGUGAACACUCGAUGCUGAUUGGUUCCCCUGCUUACACCCUCCCCCUCCCCUUUUCUUUCUCUUUCACCUAGCGGUGUAAUUACAUCCGCAGAUUCGGCACAUUCGCGAUAGAAAAGCGGAGCUUUCAUGUAAUGGUAUUGCAACUGUGAAAUUACAAACAAAAAUAUAUACAUUCUGGGACAAGAACUGACAUGAUUUUUUUUACAUCUUCCUCAUUUUCACCUCAAAAUUUGGGGGAAACUGUGACAUGAAUUUUAGCUUAUUAAGUGAAACUGAUUAAUUUUGGUAAAUAUUUUGCUAAAUGUGAUUUUGUGCUGGUAGUAGGCUAGUGCUGGCACCUUGUCUGGUUUAGGCCUUUCAUGCUUAAAUAAUGACAGCAAAUCCAUGGUUUAAGUAUUUACUGAAUCGUUCAAAUCAAACUUUUCGUUCAA